UUUGGUUAGAAGCUGUUUACAGAGAUGUGUUCAGGUCCCAAGGAAUAGAAUGUUGCCAUCAGUCUUCCUGGGUCAAGGAAUGCAAAUUGUGAUGAUGACAUUUAUUACUUUAUAAUUGUCUUUGCUGACCUCUUCAUUAUGAAUCUAAUUCUUUGGGUGGAAGAAUCAUUAGCUGCCAUCUCCUUUGAUGUCCAUGUCACUCAACCAGAUCCUGUGGCAGAUUCCUGAACAGAGCUUCUUCACAAAACCAUUUCUUGGCAUUGUAAUUGGUGGCAUUUUAUCCUUUGGCUGUAUUUUUAUUGAACUUUUUCAUUAUGAAAAGUAUUUGGGACAGUUGGAUUUCCCCCUGCUUCUUGUUUAUGACUACAGUCUUCAAUGUGGUGAAAGUGGAUUAAAGAGUUUCCCCCAAAGGCUUCCAGGCAUAUCAUCCUUGCUUUUGAAUAUCUGUAUCAACAUCAAUAGAGAUAUAUGUGUA
Molecule: long non-coding RNA, 475 nt
Organism: Marmota flaviventris (yellow-bellied marmot)
Lineage: Eukaryota; Metazoa; Chordata; Mammalia; Rodentia; Sciuridae
Source: RefSeq, a predicted model, not a curated record